RNAcentral lists this ribosomal RNA (331 nucleotides) under uncultured bacterium. RNAcentral's name for it is "bacterial SSU rRNA". It matches the Rfam family "Bacterial small subunit ribosomal RNA", at positions 568 to 898 of the family's 1533-position model. The record is from RNAcentral.
CGCGUAGGCGGAUGACAUAGUCAGAUGUGAAAUUCCUGGGCUCAACCUGGGGACUGCAUUUGAUACGUGUUGUCUUGAGUGUGGAAGAGGGUCGUGGAAUUCCCAGUGUAGAGGUGAAAUUCGUAGAUAUUGGGAAGAACACCGGUGGCGAAGGCGGCGACCUGGUCCAUAACUGACGCUGAGGCGCGAAAGCGUGGGGAGCAAACAGGAUUAGAUACCCUGGUAGUCCACGCUGUAAACGAUGUGCGCUGGAUGUUGGGUGACCUAGUCACUCAGUGUCGUAGCUAACGCGAUAAGCGCACCGCCUGGGGAGUACGGCCGCAAGGUUGAA